UGGCCAUAAUGGAAAUGCAAGGGCAAUAGGUCAGGAAGAAGGUGAUGCAAUCAGGCUGAUCAGUGCAUCAUGGGCUUGGGCAGACCACAACACACUCUAUCCAUGCCAGGAUAUUCUUCUUGAUGCCACUCUUGGAUCUACAAAUGUUACUAUUUCAGAGACCAGGUCAAGGUUAUGCUUCUUGGGCACGAUGAUGAGUGUUUGACGGGCAAGAACAUGAAGGCGACUCUUGCCCUCAAUCAUUUUGGACCUAUUUGCAAGCAACGAAUGCCAACGGUCACCUGGCAAGCAAUCUCUAGGAAGGAUGGGGAGAGUAUGCAAUUGGUGGAAGCAUGCGAACCAGCAUUCAGAGUGAAGGCAACAACUUCAUUGAGUCAGGAAACAAAGAGGUAAUAUUUCUGCCAUCGGCCUUCCAAGACCAGGGAGAGGUACAUGCCAAAGGAUAGCCGAAGUAGAGAAAAUAAACUACAGAGAAGCAGAAGAAAAUCCUCCAGAAUAUCCUCAAACUGAUGUCCUUGAUUUCUCAGCAGGCAACACAGAUUAAUGGCUUUGGUGAGAAAAGCAAGUCAUGGAACUUCUACUGUGUGGAGGAUUUAUUUGAAAUUGGAGCUUCUUUUAAUCAAACAGGCAGGUAAGGCAAAGCCUAACAACAAUAUUCAAAAAUGGCUCAAGGUUGCAAAUGCCAAAUAUGUCAGGUCAAUAACAAGUUCAACGGGUGCUUUAAGGUACUCAAAUUCGAGAUGCUGAUCCAAAACUAACAGAGAAAAAGAUGAGCAUUUUGCAACAUGACCAAGGAAUAACUACAUAAAACAAAAAUUGUAUAGUAUAGCUUUGGAAAACAUAGAAUUCACUGCGAGAUACUAGUGGUCAGAUAACGAGCCUAAUUUUGUACUUGUGAAAACAUUACAACUAUCAAUAAAAGAA
Long non-coding RNA from Populus nigra (black poplar), 924 nucleotides. RefSeq lists it as uncharacterized. Lineage: Eukaryota; Viridiplantae; Streptophyta; Magnoliopsida; Malpighiales; Salicaceae. The record is from RefSeq and is a predicted model, not a curated record. The transcript has 2 exons.